CAGGUGUCCUAAGAUGAG
RNAcentral lists this small nuclear RNA (18 nucleotides) under Arabidopsis thaliana (thale cress). Its description in RNAcentral is "snRNA_02198". Lineage: Eukaryota; Viridiplantae; Streptophyta; Magnoliopsida; Brassicales; Brassicaceae. The record is from RNAcentral.